GAUCAUGGCUCAGGAUGAACGCUAGCUACAGGCUUAACACAUGCAAGUCGAGGGGAAACGAUAUUGGAAGCUUGCUUCCGAUAGGCGUCAACCGGCGCACGGGUGAGUAACGCGUAUCCAACCUGCCCAUCACUUGGGAAUAACCUUGCGAAAGUAAGACUAAUGCCCAAUGACAUUUAUAGAAGGCAUCCGAAAUGAAUUAAAGAUUUAUCGGUGAUGGAUGGGGAUGCGU
Molecule: ribosomal RNA, 232 nt
Filed under: uncultured bacterium
Lineage: Bacteria
Description: partial 16S ribosomal RNA
Rfam family: Bacterial small subunit ribosomal RNA
Source: RNAcentral